RNAcentral lists this ribosomal RNA (643 nucleotides) under uncultured Bacillota bacterium. Its description in RNAcentral is "bacterial SSU rRNA". It matches the Rfam family "Bacterial small subunit ribosomal RNA", at positions 94 to 750 of the family's 1533-position model. Lineage: Bacteria; Bacillati; Bacillota. The record is from RNAcentral.
AGUGGCGGACGGGUGAGUAACGCGUGAGCAAUUUGCCCUUUGGAGGGGAAUAACAGCCGGAAACGGUUGCUAAUACCGCAUAAGACACGUUGGAGGCAUCUCCGGGGUGUGAAAGGAGAAAUCCGCCAAAGGAUGAGCUCGCGUCCCAUUAGGUAGUUGGUGAGGUAACGGCCCACCAAGCCGACGAUGGGUAGCCGGACUGAGAGGUUGGCCGGCCACACUGGAACUGAGACACGGUCCAGACUCCUACGGGAGGCAGCAGUGGGGAAUAUUGGGCAAUGGGGGAAACCCUGACCCAGCAACGCCGCGUGAGGGAAGAAGGUUUUCGGAUUGUAAACCUCUGUCCUAUGGGAAGAAGGAAGUGACGGUACCAUAGGAGGAAGCCCCGGCUAACUACGUGCCAGCAGCCGCGGUAACACGUAGGGGGCGAGCGUUGUCCGGAAUUACUGGGCUUAAAGGGUGCGUAGGCGGCCCUGCAGGUCAGAUGUGAAAUACCCGUGCUUAACAUGGGAACUGCAUUUGAAACCGUAGGGCUUGAGUGCGGAAGAGGUAAGUGGAAUUCCCGGUGUAGCGGUGAAAUGCGUAGAGAUCGGGAGGAACACCAGUGGCGAAGGCGACUUACUGGGCCGCAACUGACGCUGAG